GCUUGUCUCAAAGAUUAAGCCAUGCAUGUCUAAGUAUAAACAACUUUAUACAGUGAAACUGCAGAUGGCUCAUUAAAUCAGUUAUAAUUUAUUUGAUGAUUAACUUUACUACAUGGAUAACCGUAGUAAUUCUAGAGCUAAUACAUGCGAAAAGUCCUGACUUCUUCGUGAGGGAGGGAUGUAUUUAUUAGAUACAAUCAAACGCACCAACAUAAAACCUUGGUGAUUCAUAAUAACUUAUCGGAGCUCAUGGCCUUGUGCCGGAGCCAGGUCAUUCAAAUUUCUGCCCUAUCAGCUUUCGAUGGUAGUGUAGUGGACUACCAUGGCUUUAACGGGUGACGGAGAAUUAGGGUUCGAUUCCGGAGAGGGAGCCUGAGAAACGGCUACCACAUCCAAGGAAGGCAGCAGG
This 409-nucleotide ribosomal RNA is filed under the name uncultured eukaryote. Its description in RNAcentral is "partial small subunit ribosomal RNA". It matches the Rfam family "Eukaryotic small subunit ribosomal RNA", at positions 30 to 432 of the family's 1831-position model. The record is from RNAcentral.